AAGAUAUUUACAAACUUAAGCUUCUAACUUAAACCCCCCCACGAAUAUCUUA
Molecule: transfer RNA, 52 nt
Filed under: Aclerda takahashii
Lineage: Eukaryota; Metazoa; Arthropoda; Insecta; Hemiptera; Aclerdidae
Description: tRNA-Ser
Source: RNAcentral